RNAcentral lists this ribosomal RNA (377 nucleotides) under uncultured Pseudomonadota bacterium. RNAcentral describes it as "bacterial SSU rRNA". It matches the Rfam family "Bacterial small subunit ribosomal RNA", at positions 958 to 1392 of the family's 1533-position model. The record is from RNAcentral. Lineage: Bacteria; Pseudomonadati; Pseudomonadota.
AACGCGAAGAACCUUACCAGCCCUUGACACCGAGCGGUUACCAGAGAUGGUUCUAGUUAAGCUGGAGGUGACAGGUGCUGCAUGGCUGGAGCGUGGUGAGAUGUUGGGUUAAGCCGCAACGAGCGCAACCCGCCCUUAGUUGCCAAUAGUUGGGCACUAAGGGGACUGCCGGUGAUAAGCCGAGAGGAAGGUGGGGAUGACGAAGCAUGGCCCUUACGGGCUGGGCUACACACGUGCUACAAUGGUGGUGACAGUGGGCAGCGAGACCGCGAGGGAGCUAACAAAAGCCAAGUGGAUUGCACUGCAACGAGUGCAUGAAGUUGGAAGCUAGUAAGUGGAAGAAUGCCACGGUGAAUACGUCCGGGUUGUACACACCG